AGCAGCCGCGGUAAUUCCAGCUCCAAUAGCGUAUAUUAAAGUUGUUGCAGUUAAAAAGCUCGUAGUUGAAUUUCGGGAUCAAUUCGUCGGUCGUGCUUUUUGGUACGUACUGGCGUUAUUGGUUUCUCCUUUCUGACGAGCCAUGAUGUCAUUAAUUUGGUGUUAUGGGGAGUUAGGACUGUUACUUUGAAAAAAUUAGAGUGUUUAAAGCAGGCAUUAGCUUGAAUACAUUAGCAUGGAAUAAUGAAAUAGGACGUUCGAUCCUAUUUUGUUGGUUUCUAGGAUCAACGUAAUGAUUAAUAGGGAUAGUUGGGGGCAUUAGUAUUCAAUUGUCAGAGGUGAAAUUCUUGGAUUUAUUGAAGACUAACUACUGCGAAAGCAUUUGCCAAGGAUGUUUUCAUUAAUCAAGAACGAAAGUUAGGGGAUCGAAGACGAUCAGAUACCGUCGUA
This 450-nucleotide ribosomal RNA is filed under the name uncultured Glomeromycotina. Its description in RNAcentral is "SSU rRNA". It matches the Rfam family "Eukaryotic small subunit ribosomal RNA", at positions 569 to 1022 of the family's 1831-position model. Lineage: Eukaryota; Fungi; Glomeromycota. The record is from RNAcentral.